RNAcentral lists this unclassified non-coding RNA (379 nucleotides) under uncultured Gammaproteobacteria bacterium. RNAcentral describes it as "contains 16S-23S intergenic spacer region". The record is from RNAcentral. Lineage: Bacteria; Pseudomonadati; Pseudomonadota; Gammaproteobacteria.
UCCGGUUUGUCACCGGCAGUCUCCUUAAAGUUCCCACCAUGACGUGCUGGCAAAUAAGGAUAAGGGUUGCGCUCGUUACGGGACUUAACCCAACAUCUCACGACACGAGCUGACGACAGCCAUGCAGCACCUGUCUCAGAGUUCCCGAAGGCACGAAGCUAUCUCUAGCGACUUCUCUGGAUGUCAAGACCUGGUAAGGUUCUUCGCGUUGCGUCGAAUUAAACCACAUGCUCCACCGCUUGUGCGGGCCCCCGUCAAUUCAUUUGAGUUUUAAUCUUGCGACCGUACUCCCCAGGCGGUCAACUUAGCGCGUUAGCUACGCCACCAAGGGCACGAAGGCCCCCAACGGCUAGUUGACAUCGUUUACAGCGUGGACUAC